CCUACGGGAGGCAGCAGUGAGGAAUAUUGGUCAAUGGGCGGAAGCCUGAACCAGCCAAGUAGCGUGCGGGAUGACGGCCCUACGGGUCGUAAACCGCUUUUGCACGGGGAUAACACCCUCCACUUGUGGAGGUCUGCAGGUACCGUGCGAAUAAGGGCCGGCUAAUUCCGUGCCAGCAGCCGCGGUAAUACGGAGGGCCCGAGCGUUAUCCGGAUUCAUUGGGUUUAAAGGGAGCGUAGGCGGGCGUUCAAGUCAGCGGUAAAAUCGCGGGGCUCAACCGCGCCCCGCAGUUGAAACUGGAUGCCUUGAGUGCACAACAGGCAGGCGGAAUUCGUGGUGUAGCGGUGAAAUGCAUAGAUAUCACGCGGAACCCCGAUCGCGAAGGCAGCCUGCCGGGGUGCGACUGACGCUGAGGCUCGAAGGUGCGGGUAUCAAACAGGAUUAGAUACCCUAGUAGUC
This 459-nucleotide ribosomal RNA is filed under the name uncultured bacterium. RNAcentral describes it as "partial 16S ribosomal RNA". It matches the Rfam family "Bacterial small subunit ribosomal RNA", at positions 338 to 795 of the family's 1533-position model. The record is from RNAcentral.